UGGGGAAUUUUGGACAAUGGGCGAAAGCCUGAUCCAGCAAUGCCGCGUGUGUGAAGAAGGCCUUCGGGUUGUAAAGCACUUUUGUCCGGAAAUAAAUGGCUCUGGUUAAUACCUGGGGUCGAUGACGGUACCGGAAGAAUAAGGACCGGCUAACUACGUGCCAGCAGCCGCGGUAAUACGUAGGGUCCAAGCGUUAAUCGGAAUUACUGGGCGUAAAGCGUGCGCAGGCGGUUGUGCAAGACCGAUGUGAAAUCCCCGAGCUUAACUUGGGAAUUGCAUUGGUGACUGCACGGCUAGAGUGUGUCAGAGGGGGGUAGAAUUCCACGUGUAGCAGUGAAAUGCGUAGAGAUGUGGAGGAAUACCGAUGGCGAAGGCAGCCCCCUGGGAUAACACUGACGCUCAUGCACGAAAGCGUGGGGAGCAAACAGG
Molecule: ribosomal RNA, 429 nt
Filed under: Bacillota bacterium
Lineage: Bacteria; Bacillati; Bacillota
Description: Firmicutes bacterium partial 16S ribosomal RNA
Rfam family: Bacterial small subunit ribosomal RNA
Source: RNAcentral